This is a long non-coding RNA of Pocillopora verrucosa, 937 nucleotides long. RefSeq lists it as uncharacterized. NCBI's taxonomy places the organism in Eukaryota, Metazoa, Cnidaria, Anthozoa, Scleractinia, Pocilloporidae. The record is from RefSeq and is a predicted model, not a curated record.
CGAAGCUCGAAAUUUUCAAAGAGUAUAGCAAACAGCUUUGCUGUUACAUCCUGCCCUAUUCGUUAUCAAAGCCAAAUCGAUCACCAUUUUGUUGUUGCAAGAUUAGCUCGAGCCGAAUAUUAGGCGUUGAGCAGGUUGAAUUGGAAAAAGACGUGACGCACAUGGAUACAAUGGUUAUUGUUGCGACAAGUAGCGGCAAAAUUCCACACAGAUAUUCCUUACCAUCUGCGUACAAUAAUUGUUCCCCAUGGGCCUGGGACUGGUGGCUCAGUCAUGGCCAGAAUGACGUUAUCAUAAAAGGAGAGGAGACUGCGCACCAGCAAACAACGAAGACCGUUGACCAAGAGCAGGCCUCUAAAGGCCGCUCCGAAAAUAAACACUUGGGUCUAAACUGAAAGUAGUUUUAUUCCGAGAGAGCUACACUGGCUUGGUAUCUUUAUUUAGGCUGAGAAGUUUUUCCAACAGGGUGAAUUCUUUGUCUGUUGUUGAUGGGCCAUCUUGCCGCUUUCACAGCUCAAAGCACUGUAUAGACGGGUUUUAAUGUAUAACCAUUCCGUGAUACUGGUGCAGUGCUCAAAACAUCAGAAGCACUGAGUUUAGGCUUUGCUCGCACUUCUUUCUUAGAUAUAUCUGCAACUUCAAUGAUCUUCCAUAAUUCAUCUUUGUCCGAUCGAUAUCCUUAUCAAGCUAACCCACACACGUAGUUUCUAUUUGUUUAUCUAUCUUUGUUACACUACUUACGGUUAAACAACUGUUUAGAUAUUGAUUAAAUGUCGGAAGUUAUCUUGUUCUGAAAACAUGAUAUCUUAUAUCUUCCCUAGUGAAGAAAACGAUGUCGUCGUGGUAACUGAGGGUGAAAUCACGGCGGUUUUAUUAAAUUUAAAACGAAGGGUUUUUGUUAAUUUACGAACUUUAGUAAGGUUGAAAUAAAACUGUU